RNAcentral lists this ribosomal RNA (253 nucleotides) under uncultured bacterium. Its description in RNAcentral is "partial 16S ribosomal RNA". It matches the Rfam family "Bacterial small subunit ribosomal RNA", at positions 524 to 776 of the family's 1533-position model. The record is from RNAcentral.
UACGUAGGGUGCGAGCGUUAAUCGGAAUUACUGGGCGUAAAGUGUGCGCAGGCGGCCGCGCAAGUCGAGUGUGAAAGCCCCGGGCUUAACUUGGGAAUUGCGCUCGAAACUACGUGGCUGGAGUGUGGCAGAGGAAGGUGGAAUUCCAGGUGUAGCGGUGAAAUGCGUAGAGAUCUGGAGGAACACCGAUGGCGAAGGCAGCCUUCUGGGCCAACACUGACGCUCAUGCACGAAAGCGUGGGGAGCGAACAGG